CACGCCUCGUCCUCUUCAUUACCUCCGCUCAAGGUCUCCUCCUCCUCCUUGUCGUGCUCGCCGUGGUGGCGAGGGGGGCCAUCCCAGUGUUGGCGUAGCUGACGGAAGACUGCAAGGAUGCGAUCCCAGAUCUUCUCCCCACGUCGAUCUGGUCUCUGGCGGGGCUCCAAUCUGACGCUGCCUCUAAUCGGCGACCAGUCCAUGGCCCUAGAGGCACUGACUGUCCACAUUGGGAGAAGCCGGAAGCCCCAUCUGCUGAAACCACGGUUGUGCUUGAACUCCCCAGUCCUCGCAGGAUCUUCCUCUACUCACAGCCCAACUGGUGGAGACCGGACAACCUUGGCCCGCAGCAGAUCGUACAAAUAGUGGCUGGAAAGUCGUCGGAUAGCACCGGCAACAUCGCUACCUCUGCCCCGUACGAGCUCCCUUGUUGUCUCACCUUCAGUAUCAUAAUGUGUGAAUCUUUGUUAAUAAGGUGUUUUUCUGGUAGUUGGAAGUUGGAAACAAGACUGCAGUGUCUUCUCCACUAAUUAAGAUCAGAGUACAUUGUUAAGACUUCAAAUGCUCUAACUUAUUUCUUAUAUAUAAUUGAAAAUGCUUUCAACCUGG
Lolium perenne is the source of this 609-nucleotide non-coding RNA. NCBI's taxonomy places the organism in Eukaryota, Viridiplantae, Streptophyta, Magnoliopsida, Poales, Poaceae. The record is from RefSeq and is a predicted model, not a curated record.